Molecule: non-coding RNA, 149 nt
Organism: Candidatus Atribacteria bacterium RBG_16_35_8
Lineage: Bacteria; Pseudomonadati; Atribacterota
Source: Rfam
GUAUUUUAAUCGCUAAAUCCCUUAAAAAAGGGAACGGGGGAACCAAGAUUUUGGGGUGAAUCUCAUUACCUUUAGUUUCUGUAAUGAGUAGGGCAAUCCUUUCAGCUCGAAUCCGUCAGCUAACUUCGUCAGCGAGAAAGGAGAUAUGA